This 87-nucleotide small nucleolar RNA is filed under the name Musa acuminata subsp. malaccensis (wild Malaysian banana). RNAcentral describes it as "Small nucleolar RNA R16". It matches the Rfam family "Small nucleolar RNA R16". From Rfam's summary of the family: snoR16 is a member of the C/D class of snoRNA which contain the C (UGAUGA) and D (CUGA) box motifs. Most of the members of the box C/D family function in directing site-specific 2'-O-methylation of substrate RNAs. Lineage: Eukaryota; Viridiplantae; Streptophyta; Magnoliopsida; Zingiberales; Musaceae. The record is from Rfam by way of RNAcentral.
AGUGGCAAAUGAUGUGUAUUUAAAAUCUUAUCCUACACACUGAAUCAUGGUGUGGACCAUUAACUCCGCUUAUUAUCUGAUGCCCUC